GCGGCCUUGGCGUAACGGCAGCCGCGCUGGGUUUAGAUCCCAGUGGGGGAAACCCCGUGAGGGUUCGAAUCCCUCAGGCCGCA
This 83-nucleotide transfer RNA is filed under the name Kitasatospora viridis. It matches the Rfam family "tRNA". Rfam says of the family: Transfer RNA (tRNA) molecules are approximately 80 nucleotides in length. Lineage: Bacteria; Bacillati; Actinomycetota; Actinomycetes; Kitasatosporales; Streptomycetaceae. The record is from Rfam by way of RNAcentral.